GACAGAGGAUGCAAGCGUUAUCCGGAAUGAUUGGGCGUAAAGCGUCUGUAGGUGGCUUUUAAGUCCGCCGUCAAAUCCCAGGGCUCAACCCUGGACAGGCGGUGGAAACUACCAAGCUGGAGUACGGUAGGGGCAGAGGGAAUUUCCGGUGGAGCGUGAAAUGCGUAGAGAUCGGAAAGAACACCAAGCGGAGGAACGCAGCUCUCGU
Molecule: ribosomal RNA, 208 nt
Filed under: uncultured bacterium
Lineage: Bacteria
Description: partial 16S ribosomal RNA
Rfam family: Bacterial small subunit ribosomal RNA
Source: RNAcentral